RNAcentral lists this transfer RNA (73 nucleotides) under Bremerella cremea. RNAcentral describes it as "tRNA-Lys". It matches the Rfam family "tRNA". Rfam says of the family: Transfer RNA (tRNA) molecules are approximately 80 nucleotides in length. Their secondary structure includes four short double-helical elements and three loops (D, anti-codon, and T loops). Further hydrogen bonds mediate the characteristic L-shaped molecular structure. tRNAs have two regions of fundamental functional importance: the anti-codon, which is responsible for specific mRNA codon recognition, and the 3' end, to which the tRNAs corresponding amino acid is attached (by aminoacyl-tRNA synthetases). tRNAs cope with the degeneracy of the genetic code in two manners: having more than one tRNA (with a specific anti-codon) for a particular amino acid; and 'wobble' base-pairing, i.e. permitting non-standard base-pairing at the 3rd anti-codon position. Lineage: Bacteria; Pseudomonadati; Planctomycetota; Planctomycetia; Pirellulales; Pirellulaceae. RNAcentral also lists the same sequence under 1 other name. The record is from RNAcentral.
GGGACCGAGGUGUUACGGCAGCAUCCCUGGCUCUUAACCAGGCGGGUGAAGGUUCGAGUCCUUCCGAUCCCAC